Molecule: long non-coding RNA, 803 nt
Filed under: Nicotiana benthamiana
Lineage: Eukaryota; Viridiplantae; Streptophyta; Magnoliopsida; Solanales; Solanaceae
Description: long non-coding RNA (NBEN_LNC029879)
Source: RNAcentral
CGCGGUUCCGGAACCGCCAGAACCGGAACCGGGCGGUUCCGGAACCGUAUGGUAGCGGUUCCGGCUCCGGAACCGCCAGAACCGCGGAACCGGAACCGCCAGACCCAGAACCGGAACCGGAUACAGCCUUAGUUCAUUAAGGCUCAUAUACCCUUUAACAACAACAACAACAACUACCCAAUAUAGUCCCACAAAGUGGGUCUGGGGAGCGUAAUAUGUAGACGAGCCUUACCCCUACCCGAAAGGGCAGAGAGGUUGUUUCCACUCGACCCUCGGCUCAGUGAAGGAAAGGAAAAACAAAAACAAAAACAAAGAAGCAUUAGUAACCCCAGCCCUACCCGAAAGGGCAGAGAGGUUGUUUCCACUCGACCCUCGGCUCAGUGAAGGAAGCUCAUUUACCCUUUAAUAUAUAUAAAUAUAUAUAUUAUUUUUAUUUUUUUUAUAGGGCUAAAAUGCUGCUCAAUAAUCCAAAUAGAUAAGAGGGAAGAACUCAAAGUAAAAGACCACUGGCAAGUAAUUUAUCAAUCUGUCUUCAUCAGGUAAACUAAGGCUCAGAGCUGAUCUCUAGCGACAAGAUUUCAGCUCUCCCGCUCUGCAUAUUAUUUCCUUCUCAUAUUUCCAAUCCUUUAGUCUGUGGUGCUGGGGUUUGUUAUGUAGGUCAAGGGAGAAGAGAAUCAGCUAGAUCUUGUUGAUAUUUGGAUACUCAUUCUAUUCACAGGAAUAGCCAUUAACUCAGGAACACACAACCAAGAGCACCAUUUCCACCACUAUAAUAAAGCAUUUGAUUGAGAAAUAGACAUACU